GGCGAACGCUGGCGGCGUGCUUAACACAUGCAAGUCGAACGGAAAGGCCCUGCUUUUGUGGGGUUCUCGAGUGGCGAACGGGUGAGUAACACGUGAGUAACCUGCCCUUGACUUUGGGAUAACUUCAGGAAACUGGGGCUAAUACCGGAUAGGAGCUCCUGCUGCAUGGUGGGGGUUGGAAAGUUUCGGCGGUUGGGGAUGGACUCGCGGCUUAUCAGCUUGUUGGUGGGGUAGUGGAUUACCAAGGCUUUGACGGGUAGCCGGCCUGAGAGGGUGACCGGCCACAUUGGGACUGAGAGACGACCCAGAAUCCUAAGGGAGGAAGCAGUGGGGAAUAUUGCAGAAAGGGCGGAAGCCUGAUGCAGCAACGCCGCGUGCGGGAUGACGGCCUUCGGGUUGUAAACCGCUUUCGCCUGUGACGAAGAGUGAGUGACGGUAAUGGGUAAAGAAGCACCGGCUAACUACGUG
Molecule: ribosomal RNA, 468 nt
Filed under: uncultured bacterium
Lineage: Bacteria
Description: partial 16S ribosomal RNA
Rfam family: Bacterial small subunit ribosomal RNA
Source: RNAcentral